RNAcentral lists this ribosomal RNA (253 nucleotides) under uncultured bacterium. Its description in RNAcentral is "partial 16S ribosomal RNA". It matches the Rfam family "Bacterial small subunit ribosomal RNA", at positions 524 to 776 of the family's 1533-position model. The record is from RNAcentral.
GACGUAGGGGGCAAGCGUUGUCCGGAAUCAUUGGGCGUAAAGAGCGUGUAGGCGGCUCGAUAAGUCUGCUGUGAAAGUCCAGGGCUCAACCCUGGAAGGCCGGUGGAAACUGUCGGGCUAGAGUCCGGAAGAGGCGAGUGGAAUUCCCGGUGUAGCGGUGAAAUGCGCAGAUAUCUGGAGGAACACCGGUGGCGAAGGCAGAUCGCUGGGCCGUAACUGACGCUGAGGAGCGAAAGCAUGGGGAGCGAACAGG